RNAcentral lists this ribosomal RNA (253 nucleotides) under uncultured bacterium. RNAcentral's name for it is "partial 16S ribosomal RNA". It matches the Rfam family "Bacterial small subunit ribosomal RNA", at positions 524 to 776 of the family's 1533-position model. The record is from RNAcentral.
UACGUAGGGUCCGAGCGUUGUCCGGAAUUAUUGGGCGUAAAGGGCGCGUAGGCGGUUGGAUAAGUCUUGUGUGAAAUCUUCGGGCUCAACUCGAAGUCUGCACGAGAAACUAUCUGGCUUGAGUGUGGGAGAGGUGAGUGGAAUUCCUGGUGUAGCGGUGAGAUGCGUAGAUAUCAGGAGGAACACCUGUGGCGAAAGCGGCUCACUGGACCACAACUGACGCUGAGGCGCGAAAGCUAGGGGAGCAAACAGG